UAGUAAAACUAAUUGAGAAAAAAUCAAAAGUCUAUUGUUGUGUUAAAUUCUCCAUUAAUCUCACUUUUAAAUAAAUUUUCUAAAAAUAUUAAUAAAUAAAAAAUCAUAAUAAUGUAUCAAGUACUACUUUUAUUCUAUUCUACUUAUUAUUUUUUAUUUUUAUCGAUAGUCAUUGAUCCAUAAUGCCUAAAAAGUUACUUGUGUUGUAGUUUAAAUGUUUACUACCUAACCUCAUAUUAAUUUAGUAAUUUUAGUUGGAUAUUUUUUUAUUAUUACGUUUUGUGAAUUUGAUUUAUCAUAUGACAUUCAUUCUGUAUAUUUCUGUGGGUUCUGAUAACUUUGUAACAUUGAUAUACAAUUUUUGACGUAAUAGUCAUCCAAGACAUUAGACAUACCAAAAAAAAAAAACAUGAGAGUCUGUCUAUAUAUACGACUAUAUGGUAGAGAUGAGAAUUAAAGUGUUGAAUUAAAUUACUAGCAUAUUAUGAUGUGAUUGUGUACUAGAUGACGAGAGAAUAUAUAGAAUAAAAAAUUGUUUGUUACAAUAAGUUAGACAAAUUUCUAAACACAUAAGUAAUAUAACUACAUACAUUGUAUCAGUAUAUCAUAUAUUGUUGUUGUAUGUGAUCAUGAUAGUGAAAUAUUAGAAUAAUAAAUAUAUAAAUAUUCAUAUUGUACUAGAUUUGAUAGUUCGAGUUAUAGAUGAAUCUAAUCAUAAAAAAUAAUAAUUAUAUUAAAUAGAUGAAUUUAUCAAAAUGAACAUAAAAAUCAACAAAAAACUAUAGUCAUAUUUUUCAACAAUUUU
This 805-nucleotide small RNA is filed under the name Arabidopsis thaliana (thale cress). RNAcentral describes it as "ATSL103090". The record is from RNAcentral. Lineage: Eukaryota; Viridiplantae; Streptophyta; Magnoliopsida; Brassicales; Brassicaceae.